GAAUGCUGACAUAAGUAACGAUAAAGCGGGUGAAAAGCCCGCUCGCCGGAAGACCAAGGGUUCCUGUCCAACGUUAAUCGGGGCAGGGUGAGUCGACCCCUAAGGCGAGGCCGAAAGGCGUAGUCGAUGGGAAACAGGUUAAUAUUCCUGUACUUGGUGUUACUGCGAAGGGGGGACGGAGAAGGCUAUGUUGGCCGGGCGACGGUUGUCCCGGUUUAAGCGUGUAGGCUGGUUUUCCAGGCAAAUCCGGAAAAUCAAGGCUGAGGCGUGAUGACGAGGCACUACGGUGCUGAAGCGACAAAUGCCCUGCUUCCAGGAAAAGCCUCUAAGCAUCAGGUAACAUCAAAUCGUACCCCAA
This 358-nucleotide ribosomal RNA is filed under the name Escherichia coli. Its description in RNAcentral is "partial 23S ribosomal RNA". It matches the Rfam family "Bacterial large subunit ribosomal RNA", at positions 1292 to 1652 of the family's 2925-position model. The record is from RNAcentral. Lineage: Bacteria; Pseudomonadati; Pseudomonadota; Gammaproteobacteria; Enterobacterales; Enterobacteriaceae.